ACGCUCGACACCUACGGAGGCAGCAGUGGGGAAUAUUGCACAAUGGGGGAAACCCUGAUGCAGCGACGCCGCGUGAGCGAAGAAGUAUCUCGGUAUGUAAAGCUCUAUCAGCAGGGAAGAAGAUGACGGUACCUGACUAAGAAGCACCGGCUAAAUACGUGCCAGCAGCCACGGUAAUCUGAGCGGGCUGGCAAGGC
This 197-nucleotide ribosomal RNA is filed under the name uncultured bacterium. Its description in RNAcentral is "partial 16S ribosomal RNA". It matches the Rfam family "Bacterial small subunit ribosomal RNA", at positions 328 to 539 of the family's 1533-position model. The record is from RNAcentral.